This 435-nucleotide ribosomal RNA is filed under the name Triticum aestivum (bread wheat). RNAcentral describes it as "partial small subunit ribosomal RNA". The record is from RNAcentral. Lineage: Eukaryota; Viridiplantae; Streptophyta; Magnoliopsida; Poales; Poaceae.
AUGAGGGCCUUAUUCUGGAAUAUUAGAGGGUUCGGUGCUAGGGGGCGCCGUGACCAACUGAAAGAUUUGGUUCGUUCUAACUCUAUUGACUUUGUGGGGCUGGUUGAAACGUUUAAGGAUUCCUUUACCCCCAGUGAGCUUUCUGCUAUCGUGGGUAUGGAUAGAUUUCAGUGGCAAUCUUUACCGGCUUCGGGCCACUCUGGUGGGAUUCUGAUCGGUUCUAAUAAGGAUAUUUUUGACUUUGUUGCUUUUGAUCAUGGGUUUUAUUGGGCUAGUGUUGUUCUCUCGCAUAGAUCUAUGAAUGCCCUCUGUGAAUUUAUAGUUGUUUAUGGGCCUGCGGAUCACUCCUUUUCGCACCUUUUCCUUGAUGAACUUUCGAUCAAGCUUGAGUCCUGUUCUCUCCCGACGGUGAUUGGGGGAGACUUUAAUCUUCUG